GUAAUACGUAGGGGGCAAGCGUUAUCCGGAUUUACUGGGUGUAAAGGGAGCGUAGACGGUUUUGCAAGUCUGAAGUGAAAGCCCGGGGCUUAACCCCGGGACUGCUCUGGAAACUGUAGGACUAGAGUGCAGGAGAGGUAAGUGGAAUUCCUAGUGUAGCGGUGAAAUGCGUAGAUAUUAGGAGGAACACCAGUGGCGAAGGCGGCUUACUGGACUGUAACUGACGUUGAGGCUCGAAAGCGUGGGGAGCAAA
RNAcentral lists this ribosomal RNA (253 nucleotides) under uncultured bacterium. RNAcentral describes it as "partial 16S ribosomal RNA". It matches the Rfam family "Bacterial small subunit ribosomal RNA", at positions 520 to 772 of the family's 1533-position model. The record is from RNAcentral.